Molecule: unclassified non-coding RNA, 354 nt
Filed under: Hevea brasiliensis (rubber tree)
Lineage: Eukaryota; Viridiplantae; Streptophyta; Magnoliopsida; Malpighiales; Euphorbiaceae
Source: RNAcentral
CUAUAAAUGUGUGAUCAACAGUCUCACUUCAUGCGUCUCCAGCGUGUUAGAUAAAUCCUAGCCCAUCUUCAUUUAAGUCAUCGCUUCCCAUCAUUGGGCAAUCAUUUGCAUCAUGUCCAAACUGCCCACAGCAAGGCAGAGAGCAUCGCCUGCGCUUCCUGUAGAUAUUUAUCCCAUCUCUUAUCCUCUCUUUCAUCUUUUCCAAGGUCAUUGGAUCAUGAGUAUUCCCAGCAGCAAAACUUUGGACAAAUCCAACAGAAUCUUCAACCUCUGGAAGAAUCAAUGAGUCAGAUGGGCUAGUAUAAGCAACAUCAUUAUCAUCAUGUGCUGGCCCAGGAAAUUCCUUGAUACGAG